CAGUAGCCACGGGAAUACGUAGGGCGCAAGCGUUAUCCGGAAUUAUUGGGCGUAAAGAGCUCGUAGGCGGUUUGUCGCGUCUGCCGUGAAAGUCCGGGGCUCAACCCCGGAUCUGCGGUGGGUACGGGCAGACUAGAGUGAUGUAGGGGAGACUGGAAUUCCUGGUGUAGCGGUGAAAUGCGCAGAUAUCAGGAGGAACACCGAUGGCGAAGGCAGGUCUCUGGGCAUUAACUGACGCUGAGGUACGAAAGCAUGGGGAGCAAACAGGAUUAGAUACCCGAGUAGUCCCUGUCUCUUAUAC
RNAcentral lists this ribosomal RNA (301 nucleotides) under uncultured bacterium. RNAcentral's name for it is "partial 16S ribosomal RNA". It matches the Rfam family "Bacterial small subunit ribosomal RNA", at positions 509 to 807 of the family's 1533-position model. The record is from RNAcentral.